Molecule: signal recognition particle RNA, 384 nt
Filed under: Prunus dulcis (almond)
Lineage: Eukaryota; Viridiplantae; Streptophyta; Magnoliopsida; Rosales; Rosaceae
Description: sRNA ncRNA
Rfam family: Plant signal recognition particle RNA (bases 36-341)
Source: RNAcentral
CACACUUCAUAAACCUAGCUGGAGGAAGUUGGAUCGCCGAGCUCAGCAACGUGAGCUUGUAACCCGAGUGGGGGCUUUGAGGUGCUGGAACAUUGUCCCAGUAUUAGCUGGUCGGGUUCGGGUUGGCUAUCUUCUGGCUCGCCCAUUCCAAGCCAGGAGUUGAACCCUGUGGCAUGAGCGAAGGCCCUGGGUCACUGGGUUUCUAGAGUGGAGGGCACUGCGUAAGGCUGGCUUCACAGAGCAACGACUACCUCUCGCUCUUGGCAGUGGAAGGAUAACGGGUCGGUGCCAAUCGGAUCCGCCAUGGCCUGCUAGGCUGUCCCAAUUGAACCAAAACCUUUUUGCUUUUUUUAACCUCAAAGCUUGAAACGCCGUUAAAACAGC